CCCUUAGAUGUUCUGGGCCGCACACGCGCUACACUGAAGGAGGCAGCGUGUACUCCUGGAUCGAAAGAUUUGGGUAACCCGCGAAUCUCCUUCGUGCUAGGGAUUGAGGUUUGCAAUUAUCCUUCAUGAACGAGGAAUUCCCAGUAAGUGCAAGUCAUAAGCUUGCGCUGACUACGUCCCUGCCCUUUGUACACACCGCCCGUCGCUACUACCGAUUGAAUGAUUUGGUGAGGACUUCGGACUGGGACCGAUGCGGCUUUCGGGCUGCGUCGGUAUUCUGGAAAGAUGUCCAAACUGUAUCAUUUAGAGGAAGUAAAAGUCGUAACA
This 327-nucleotide ribosomal RNA is filed under the name uncultured eukaryote. RNAcentral describes it as "partial 18S ribosomal RNA". It matches the Rfam family "Eukaryotic small subunit ribosomal RNA", at positions 1470 to 1796 of the family's 1831-position model. The record is from RNAcentral.